Non-coding RNA from Pelobates cultripes (western spadefoot toad), 1218 nucleotides. Lineage: Eukaryota; Metazoa; Chordata; Amphibia; Anura; Pelobatidae. The record is from the annotation of a GenBank genome assembly.
CCCCAAAAUCUAUAGGCUAUCUCAAACCCUCCCCCCAUACCUCACUUACCUAAUCUGUAGGCUGUCUCUGGCUGCAUGUGUUGUUCCCCUGCGGUUUCAAUCAACAGAGAGAAGCAGGGAUAAGAUGCAGCUUCCUAUCCCUACUGGCCGGCGCCGGUAUUGCAGUUCAUUUUAAAUUUCACACAAAGAAUAUCAGAACAAGCUGAAAAAUCCAGGGGGGGGCAAGUGCUAAGCAGGAGUCUGUUGCGGCUUCUGACUUCUGCAGCUCUGCAGACUCUGGAAGCACAUCACUGGACCAACAGGGAGCAUACCGUUGCUAAACAGUUUACCCCUUUACUGAGGAACCAGGCCACGGUAAUUUAGGCAUCAUUUCCAUUACAGCAGGAUGUAAUGAUGAUUGGUAAUGCUUGGAGCAAUCCUUUAAGUGAGCUACACACUUUUGGAUACUUUCUUGAUUCUGUUUUUUGUGACUUUGAAAUAUUAAUUAAGCUUACGUGUAAUAUUGUGAUACAGACUGCUGUUUAUACUUUGUAUUUCAAAUGAUCACUUUCAAUAUAGUUCUAUUUUAUAAUAAAGAACAUUUUACAUUUACAAAUCUUAAUCGAUUAAAUUAAUAUGUGAUGGAAUGUGAUUAUUUUAUAUGCUCUUUGAUUUUUAACAUGUUUGUGAAUAAGCGUCUAGACUAGCAAGCCAAGUUCUGUUCAAUGUAUAGAGGGUGUUGGUUGUUUAAAAGUUUGAACUUUAUACAUUCUUUCCUCCCCCCUACCCACGUCACCCCCUUACUGCUGAUCUGCCUAGUAACAGCAGUAAAAGUCCAAACUAAUCACCCCCCUUGUUCUACCUUCUCUAUACGUUAAGACCACGUGUAACUAUCUGAUUAGAUAAAGAAUAAAAGCACGCCCUGUUAAAAAAACAAAACAAAAAAAACUAUAUAUUUGGGAUAUGCAAUAAACAUUUUUGGAUAACUUUGAACAACUUGUGUCUGUGUCAGUUCAUGGUAGUCUCCCCAGCGCUGGAAAGGAAUUGCAGGACAAACCAGAGAUUGCUAAAUUACAAAGAAGUCCAUGGCAAAGAAUUGGUCAAUUAUUUAAAGAGAUCUUCAUUUUGUUUAUACGUAGAGCUGUUUAUCCAGUCUGUUAAAGAUUAUCACUUUCACUGCGCUUCUGUUAACUAUUGUUAUAUACCUCUCUCAAUAAAGAGCAUUUGUGCACUUGGAAA